UUGAACGCUGGCGGCAGGCCUAACACAUGCAAGUCGAACGGUAACAGGAAGAAGCUUGCUUCUUUGCUGACGAGUGGCGGACGGGUGAGUUAUGUCUGGGAAACUGCCUGAUGGAGGGGGAUAACUACUGGAAACGGUAGCUAAUACCGCAUAAUGUCGCAAGACCAAAGAGGGGGACCUUCGGGCCUCUUGCCAUCGGAUGUGCCCAGAUGGGAUUAGCUAGUAGGUGGGGUAACGGCUCACCUAGGCGACGAUCCCUAGCUGGUCUGAGAGGAUGACCAGCCACACUGGAACUGAGACACGGUCCAGACUCCUACGGGAGGCAGCAGUGGGGAAUAUUGCACAAUGGGCGCAAGCCUGAUGCAGCUAUGCCGCGUGUAUGAAGAAGGCCUUCGGGUUGUAAAGUACUUUCAGCGGGGAGGAAGGGAGUAAAGUUAAUACCUUUGCUCAUUGACGUUACCCGCAGAAGAAGCACCGGCUAACUCCGUG
This 489-nucleotide ribosomal RNA is filed under the name uncultured bacterium. Its description in RNAcentral is "partial 16S ribosomal RNA". It matches the Rfam family "Bacterial small subunit ribosomal RNA", at positions 30 to 507 of the family's 1533-position model. The record is from RNAcentral.